This 511-nucleotide ribosomal RNA is filed under the name uncultured Gram-positive bacterium. RNAcentral describes it as "bacterial SSU rRNA". It matches the Rfam family "Bacterial small subunit ribosomal RNA", at positions 8 to 521 of the family's 1533-position model. The record is from RNAcentral.
AGAGUUUGAUCCUGGCUCAGGAUGAACGCUGGCGGCGUGCUUAACACAUGCAAGUCGAGCGAAGCGAUUUAAAUGAGACUUCGGUGGAUUUUAAAUUGACUGAGCGGCGGACGGGUGAGUAACGCGUGGAUAACCUGCCUCACACAGGGGGAUAACAGUUAGAAAUGACUGCUAAUACCGCAUAAGCGCACGGUACCGCAUGGUACAGUGUGAAAAACUCCGGUGGUGUGAGAUGGAUCCGCGUCUGAUUAGGUAGUUGGUGAGGUAACGGCCCACCAAGCCGACGAUCAGUAGCCGACCUGAGAGGGUGACCGGCCACAUUGGGACUGAGACACGGCCCAAACUCCUACGGGAGGCAGCAGUGGGGAAUAUUGCACAAUGGGCGAAAGCCUGAUGCAGCAACGCCGCGUGAGUGAAGAAGUAUCUCGGUAUGUAAAGCUCUAUCAGCAGGGAAGAAAAUGACGGUACCUGACUAAGAAGCCCCGGCUAACUACGUGCCAGCAGCCGCGGU